RNAcentral lists this ribosomal RNA (253 nucleotides) under uncultured bacterium. RNAcentral's name for it is "partial 16S ribosomal RNA". It matches the Rfam family "Bacterial small subunit ribosomal RNA", at positions 524 to 776 of the family's 1533-position model. The record is from RNAcentral.
UACAGAGGUCUCAAGCGUUGUUCGGAUUCAUUGGGCGUAAAGGGUGCGUAGGUGGCGGGGUAAGUCAGGUGUGAAAUCUCGGGGCUCAACCCCGAAACUGCACUUGAUACUGCCUUGCUCGAGUACUGGAGGGGAGAUUGGAAUUUACGGUGUAGCAGUGAAAUGCGUAGAUAUCGUAAGGAAGACCAGUGGCGAAGGCGAAUCUCUGGACAGUUACUGACACUGAGGCACGAAGGCCAGGGGAGCAAACGGG